Molecule: unclassified non-coding RNA, 2123 nt
Filed under: Hevea brasiliensis (rubber tree)
Lineage: Eukaryota; Viridiplantae; Streptophyta; Magnoliopsida; Malpighiales; Euphorbiaceae
Source: RNAcentral
GGGGGCAACUUUUUCUUUUAACAUUAUCAAUACUGCAAUAAUCUAAAACAAAAGUAGAGAUCUUUUGAAAGUAAACAAACAUUGCAAAGUCAAAAGAAAAGAAACAGAACCCUUUAAAGAUGAAGCAAAACUAAUAGAGACUAGUAAGUAAAUGCCAUCCCAAAAGCCGGGCACAGCGGGACGAGUGUAUGCCUAUAAAGCUAAUUAAACACAAAAAGAAGAAACAAGGACCCCUUUUGAAGCUUCAGGUCUACCUAGUCAUAAAAUGCCUCUUGGAGGCAACCUAUGAUUCAGACACUACUUUUGAAUGGCCUUGAAUUAAUCGAUAGGUUUUUGGUGAGAGAAACCAAAGGUGCAGUUGGAUCAGUAGAGUUGGUCUUCAGCUCCUCCUCGAGUACCUUGUCUCCUCCUUUGAAUUGCUUAAGAGAAUCAGCUUUCUCGUAUGCAUCAGCUUGAAUAACUGGUUUUGAACUCCUUUUAGCCUUGAGCACUUUCUCACGCUUCUCAUAGAAAUUGAAAUCAUCCAAUAUAGAUGUCUUCUCUGAGUAAUUCUUAAGUAUGUUAAGCAUUUCCAAACCUUCCUUCAAUCCAAUCUCCUGUGUAUCUCUGCUAUAGGUUACAGGUCUAUUAUCAUUGUUUUCAAGGAUGAUGUGCCUGAACUGUGUAUUUGGUACAUCUUUAACUAUGUGCCACUUCAGUGGGAAGAACCCACUCCACUUAUCAAGCUGCCAAAAGUCCAUGUUUCUGUUGAAGUCAACCUGCCCAACCAUCUCAGCUACACCUAAAAACUGUCCACUUCCAUUUACAGAAAAGAAGAGGAACACUGGACAGCUUGAACCAGUUCCACUUGCUUUAGCCUCAGAUUCAACAAAGGCAGUGUCCAAUUUCUUGUUUCCAUUUGGAGUACUUGACCACACAUCAUAUUUGACACACUUGUGGAUAUCAUCUUCACUGUAUGACUUGAUAAUGUAAAAUUUUGCAUUGUCAUACUGAGUCUUAAAAUCCUCCUUGUUAUACUUCUCCCUCUGAACAGCUGGCACAAGCUGAUCCUCCUCAGCAGAUGGUUUUGAAGGGACACUUCUACCGUUGGCACGGGGACCACGAGGUAACUCAUUAGUUGCCUCAAACACACCAUUUCUGGUGAAAUUUCCCCGUGGUUUAGCUCUGUAGUUUCCAUUCCACAUUCUACUGUUUGUUUGACAGUUGAUGGGAUCAUAAGGCAUGAAAAAACCUUGAUUCUGACUCGUGUAUGAUGGGUAGUCCCCAACCAGAUGAAACCCCUUCAUCAGGCCUCCAGACUGGACAUCGGACUGAAACUUGUUCACUGGAUUAAAAGGCUGAGCUUGAUGGAAAGACUUUGGAGGAUUUGACAUGGCAGUAGCUGGUCGACUCUUUGGGUUAAAGAGUACGGUCGAGUUUUUGCUUGAGAAAGAACUAUUUGUUUUUGUGGAAUUAAAACCAUUCGACUUGACUGAACCAUUUCGUCCAAAAGUUGAUUUAACGUUCCCGGAUUUUGGAGCAGCACUAUUGGUGAUAUCAGCACAGUAUGGCGAGCCCCAUGUAUAACAUGGCAUGGAAUCUGAACCAUAUGAGACAGGUUGCUGGAGAUAUCCGGACGAAGGAUAGGGCUGCUUCCCAUCGCCUCCCACAAAUCCAGCACUGUAAGGAUUAUAGCCAGGCAUAUAGUAGAGAAGGGAACCAUUGUCUGAUUGAACACCCGCAUUAAAGUAAGCCUGCUCAUCUAACUGAUUAUAAGUCCCAUUAUAUCCUGGAUAGUAGUAAUCGCAAUAGCUAGUAGGUGGAUAAUAAGCACCUUGCUCUGCAGCAGGUGGUUGAUCAUUUUCACACUUGAUGCUGGUCACAGCUCCCAAAGAAGCCACCGAGUCAGCAGCUUUUCCAUCUUUUUUUGAAACCAAAUCCUUCUCAAUCAGUUUGUUAGAGGGAUCAGAUUUCAGUCCCGGAGCAACAGCUUCAGGUUUUUCUAUAAUCUUCUCACCAGCCAUUAUCAAGCUUCAAAAGCCAAUUCCUGACCUUAUAUAAGCAAAUAAACAAAACCACCGAUCCAGAUAACCGGAAAACCGCUAUGAAACAGAGAAGCGGUUUCCCUGUAGCGAAGGUUUUUG